This 858-nucleotide long non-coding RNA is filed under the name Homo sapiens (human). RNAcentral describes it as "HSALNT0364702". Lineage: Eukaryota; Metazoa; Chordata; Mammalia; Primates; Hominidae. The record is from RNAcentral.
AUUUUCCUGCCUCAGCCUCCUGAGUAGCUGGGACUACAGGCGCCCGCCACCACGCCCGGCUAAUUUUUUGUAUUUUUAGUAGAGACAGGGUUUUACCGUGUUCGCCAAGAUGGUCUCGAUCUCCUGACCUCUUCGUCCGCCCGCCUUGGCCUCCCAAAGUGCUGGGAUUAGAGGCGUGAGCCACCGCGCCCGGCCGGUCCACUAAUUCUUUUAAACUCUGUAAGGCAUUUUUUUUUCCUGUUUAAAUAUAUAUCGACAUUAGAUAGCUUUGGCUGUGGCAAAGAGGACCUGCUAUUGUAGGUCUGUGGGCUGGCAGUGACUGGGCGGGGCUCAUCUGAGAUUGGCGGGGCUCGGCUCUGUGCCAUGUACUGUCUCAUUCCGGAACAUGGACGGAAGGCGGGGUCGCUGUUGGGCAUGCUGUUCUCAGGAGGGCAAGCAAAGCUCUGGGGCACUGCUUCUGAAAGCCUCUGCUCACAAUCGGCAGCUGACACCUGCAGACAAUCUCCACUGUUGCAAGAUGUCCCUCUUCAUGGAGAGCUGCCUGAAGCUGAGAAGGGUGCGACGGACCUGAAGGCUGCACAGCGCCGGGUCUUACCCAAGGCUCAAGGUGACCGCUGCCUGGUUUCUGCUGGUGUUUAUUCAAAGCCCAAGGGCUCUCCAGUCAGCAAGUGGUGAAUCUAGUCAGACAUGUGUCCUACGCUUCAGGGCAAUGAGCUUCCCCUCAGCCUAAGAUUCCAUUAUGACAUUAGUCUCUGGUCACAAUUAUCUGAAGCCUUGCAGGAUGCACCAUUCCACUUCAUCCUGUCUUCAUCACAAGAAGAAAAGUGAGUAAAGUACAAUAAGAUAUUUAGAGAGAAA